CGCCCAAUCAGAGAAAUCCUAGCCUUCAAAUCCCCACUCUAUCACGCAUCUUCCUCCUCAAUCUCUCUCUGGCCCCUUCCUCCCUCUCAAUGUCUCUCACGCCUCUCCCUUUCUCUCCAAUUCCAGUAAACGCAUUGGACUACUUCAACCCUUGGUUCCUAUAUUGCGUCCAUCUAUCUUCGAUUUUUCUUUUUUUAUUCUCAUUUCAGGUUUUCUAAUGCCCUAAUCGAUUUCUUUUUCUAUUCUCAUUUCAGGUUUUCUGAUGCCCUAUCAACGACCUUAUUUUUGUAUAUAGAGAAGCAGAGGCAAGCAUUACGCUUCUCUGAUUUCAACAGCCUCUAAUCAUUUCUCAUGAGAUUUCUAUGUAUUUUUUAAGAAAGAGGCUUGAAAAUUUCACAAGGUAAAGUCUGCUAAUGAACGUGCUUCAAGAGGCCUUCCACUGGACGAAGUUGAAGCAAUGGCUGUUGCAGGCCUUCUACAGUUUGCUGAUAUCUUGCAAUCUAGCAUGAAAGCAGCACUCAAGCGUUGACAGCCUGCUAUGUAGCUAGUCAAGUUCAUAUUAUUAACAAGUCAGCACUGAUUCUAUCUCAAGGGAAGAGUGGUAAAGGUUUUCAAUGGAUUUCACCUGAUGAAACUGAGAUCACUCCCUACAGUGGAGCAGGUGAAAAUUUUUCCUGAGUCUUUGAAGCCCCUAUCUCAUUUUUGAAACCAGGCAAUGCUACAGAAAUCUUGCUACCUUGAAGAUGCUCGUGAUAAAGUGCAGAUUUUGGGAGGAAAUAUGUCUACACUUGGACUACUGCGGAAAUCCAUUUAUGUUAAAAAGAUUUAUACAAACCAUGAGAUCAAUUCAAGGAGCACUGAUUGUAGCAUCAAGAUUACAGAUCAUCCUGGGUUACUACCAGCUAUGGAAAAAAAUUCACAGUACUCCAUAGCAGCACCUCAUUCACUGAGGUUAAUUUGUUCCUGUUCUGAAUAGUAUUCCUAGUUCUUUGUGGUUCUCUUCACAGGUUUUUCAGUCCUCUUGGCAUUGCACCUGUGAUUGGACUAGUUGGUUUGGGAUUAUUUGAGCGAGGCUUCCCUGUGGUACUUCAGUUAUUUGCAAUAAGCUUUUUAAGUCCAUGACAUGUUUUAGCAUUUUUUAAACCAUAGAAUUAUAUUGUAAUUCUUUGUUCUUUAGUUGGGGAAUGGUGUUGAAAUUGGCAUAUCACUGUUGUUUAGUGGUAAAUGCAAAA
This is a long non-coding RNA of Magnolia sinica, 1232 nucleotides long. RefSeq lists it as uncharacterized. NCBI's taxonomy places the organism in Eukaryota, Viridiplantae, Streptophyta, Magnoliopsida, Magnoliales, Magnoliaceae. The record is from RefSeq and is a predicted model, not a curated record. The transcript has 4 exons.